Non-coding RNA from Microcebus murinus (gray mouse lemur), 4037 nucleotides. Lineage: Eukaryota; Metazoa; Chordata; Mammalia; Primates; Cheirogaleidae. The record is from RefSeq and is a predicted model, not a curated record.
UUUCCAUAUGAAUCCUCCAAUUCUUCUCAUUAGAGCAACCUAAGAAUUAGGCUCCCAAAGUAGAACACCUUAAAUUGUGUUCUCUUUCUUUCUCUCUCAUACUAAUGGACCUUCACAUAUACCACUCCUUUCUCCUUUUGUUUCUGAAUACUUAGAUUAAGGUGAUGUAAGUUGCCAUUUACCAAAGGGUGCAUGUUGGGUGAAAGGAACCAGAUGGAAACUCAGCUGGAGAAACAUAGGAACUCUCUAAAUGAGAAACAGCUGAGUUGGGACAAGGACACAGAGUGAAGACUAAACUGUGUCUUUGCAAGGUACAAGAAGACUGGCUAAAUUACAUUAUCAACCUGCUUUCUUUGCUGUUGCAUUGGCGGCCUCAAGACACCAUUUGGGUUGGGUUCAAUGGUGACUGGGGUGAGGGGUAGGGAAAGGCUGAAAUCCUGCCUGGUUGUUUUUAGGCUAUGCUUGCCCAGAGAAGUCACAUUCUUUCCUAAUUUGCACAAAGAUGUCAUAUGGAUUAGUGGUAGCUAUGGUAGAAUUAGUCUAAAUUUCAGCAAAAACUAUUAUGAGUAAAUAAUGAAUCACUGAGAAAGAAUUGAUUUUUCUUAGAUUAGGCAGGUCAGGAAAUGCAUAAAUUAUAGCAAGGAUUUAGGUUAGACCAAUGUGGUUUUGCUCCAGGUUUUGAAAGAAUAGAUAAACCAUCUUUCUAAGAUGGUCCUGGAUCAUUGAUAAUGCCUGCUUUAGUAACCCCAAAGACUUUUAUGAGACCAUGAAGUCAUUGCAACAGAACUUCACAUGUCUUUCUAGUCUUCUCAUUUGCUCAACCAAAAACUAAAUGGUGCUCACUAUUGAAAUGGUAGAGAGACACAUACUGUUGACAACUCAUGUAUAUAAAGAUUCCGUGACUCUGAAAUAUCACCACAAAAUACUAAACCCAGUGCCAUUAAUGCUUAAUCUCACUUGACUCUUGUGAGUGGAGUUUGGAGGGGCUUCCUCUUUUACUACAGACCUAACGUCAUUGCAACUGUCCCCUGGCUCGCUUACAGCUGCCUCCAAUCUUUAAAAGGGGGAAUGAGACACUUUAGUUAGGAAGCAGGCAAAAUAAGGUCACAGAAAAGUCAGAGUAAGGUGGGCUGCAAUUCUUCUUCUCAUGCAUUUCAAAUUAAGAGAGAACGUAAGGGUUAACUAUAAAGUAUUCCACCUUGAACCCCCGCCCUCUCUUUAUCUAGCGCACCAUAAUAAAAGAUCAAGAGUUCCUGCUUAUUAUUUUAUUUUUCCUCCUUGCUCCACCAGGCUAAGGCCCAGUCUGGUUAUGGAUUAACACGGGGAUCAAUACUAAGCCUGCUGUCUCUCUCCCGGCAGGGGAAAAUGAACUCAAAAUGCAGUCAAACUCUUAUUGAUCAAGGAUAUAGGUCUCACUUUCAUUACCUCUGUCUCCUGAUAACCCACAAAUAAUGUGAUGAGUUGCUAAUCUCUCUGAUUUUCAAUGGACCCUUCACCCCUCCUGUCUGCACAUUGCAGCUUUUAUUUUCAUCCUGAUACACACUCUGUGUAAUUCAUGUAGCACUAACUCUCACUCUCCUACCGUCAGACCUGGUCCAUCAGAGCUAAUAAUAUCGCUCUUCACUGGGUGCGGAGGCUCCAGCCAGUUCAGAAUAUAGUGGCUCCAAGCGUGGCAAAGAAAUGCUAUGUGCAGACUGCUUCUUUCAAGGGCAGAGAGGCGGGAAGCCUUCUUGGUGAAGCGACACUCAGCUUGGUAGUAAUCUUCCCAAGAUGUGAGCUGCUUCUACUGAAGUAGUCCCAGAUUUUACAAACUUACCUGUUCAAGACUCUUGAGUGGCCAAUUUCAUUUUGGCCACCUCUUUUCAGAGGAUCUGAACAGACUAACACAAAGCGCUUUGCCACUGUGGUGCUAGGGGAGGGUCGGUCCCCUCACGCUUGGUGCCAAAAUGACCACAGGAAAUUUUCGUUAAAUAGCUGUGGAAAAUACCAUGGGAUAAGCCUAGAAAAAAAUCAAGGUAUUUAAAAUAUAAUAUUGCAUUGAUUUCUUUAAUUAAAGGUAGUGUGGUCUGACAGAAACUACACGGUUUUUGAGGCAAAAGCUCUAUUUCACAUUCUUGAACCUUCCACCGACUCAGGUAGGAAAAUGAGGACUCUGUGCUUGGAACAAAAUCACUUCACUUUUGUCUGGGAAAUUCUCGUCUUGCUUCAGUUUAUGAGAUAAAAAGGGACCCAAAUCAAUGCUUUAGAAAAGUGAUUACCUUCAGAAGCAUGGUUACUUUUUGGUUUGUUAAUAACUCACCAUGACCUUCCUACUUCUUUUUUUUUUUAUUCUGCAACUUACUACUUUUUUAAAGCUAAGCAAAAAGAAAAGAAAAACAACCUAACUUCCAUUGUGUGUGAUGUCACUUAGGCAUUUAGCUGGUAAGAGAUCCUCAGGUAUAAAAUGGCACUGACCACAGGUAUUGAAAAGAGUGUGCUGAAAUUCAUUACUUUCCUCUGCUGGAUUGUUAGAGCUGAAUUAAAGCUAACAACAGUCGCUUUCCCUCCCUGAUACACAAUCAGGGAAUGCUCACCUCACUGAAUCACUGUUGUGAGGAAAGUCAUAAUAUUUUCUGCUGCCAAGCUGAUUAAAGUAACUCACAAUGAAACAAAUUCCUCUUUCUUGAAGAAAAUACCCAAUGACCAGUAGCAACUAAGUGAAUACUCGGCUUGCGUUCAGCCUGUAGGGUCUGAAUGCUGUUUUUCAGCUCCAGUGCAAACAAUUUGUACACCUGUUGAAGAGAAAAGAAGAUAUGACAGUGGUACAAAGUCUGGGGGAUUAAAGAGAUCUGCAUUGAUCUCCUAAAGCUGAGAUAUCUUCUCAGCUACACUCUCCAUGAAUGCGGUCUGGUGGUGUCCACAUGAUUCCAAACAUUCAGAUGGAAAAUGAAGAAUAUAGAAAAUCUCCCAGAUGUCCCAGCUUCUCUAAGUAAGUGGAACAAUGGACACUCCAAGAGUUAAUCCUCUCUUUAGCUUUGGGCAGCUGAGCAGCCACAGCUACCCAAGUUCACCAGCAGGACAUGUGGAUGAACUCACCGGCCCUAGAAUCCUACCUCAGUGUCUCUGGGUUGGAGAAUGCACCACUGUCAAAGCAACUGGGAAACUUCUGGCUCUGUUGUGCAGCCUGAAGAUACACAGCUCAAGCUCCCCAUCUGCUUUUUCUCAUCUUAAUUUUUCACUUGUACAAAUAUUCUCUUUCUACUAAGGGCAAAAAACACUCUUUUUCAAUCAAUGUUCUCCUCUGGAAAGAACACAAGAAUUUAAAAAAGACAGUCAAAUCUGAUUGAUACAAUCACUUACAUGGGUUCAGAAUUUUAUAUAAAUACAAAUCUUUUUACUUUCAUUACAUGAAAUAAGUAGUCUUUGUAAUGGAAGUUAUACCCAAAGUUUCUAUACAUUAUGCAUACUUGAAUGCAUAUGUACAGUGUCCUAACACUUGAAAUGAGCUUGCUUCUUUGGUUAUGUAAUAAAGAUAGCAAUCUUUAUUCUUUAGACUAUAGCACCAGAGGUGGAGAUAGAAGAAACUUUGUUUCUCUUACUAGUUUAUUGAAUAAUCAGUUGCUUAAAAAGUAGCUAUUUAAAUUGAUUCCUAAGGAAAAUCUACCUGGAAAAUAAAAUCACACAGUCAUCUAGAGCUCCCAAGGGCUAAGCGAUUUGUAUAAGGUCAGGCACUCAUGACUGGGACCCACUUCUCCUGGCUCCCAGACAAUUAUUGGUAAUGGUUUAGAACUAAAUAUGGACAAUUUCUGGAUCCACCAUCAGGGUCUCUUAUGCAGGCUGUGGUCCCCAUGCUAAAUAUCCUCAGGGAACUAUUUGGGAGAAGAAUUAAGCUGGCUUACAACCAUACCACUGUUAAAAAUAUAUUUUUUUGUUAAGUACAUUAUAAUAUUUUUUUCUGUAUGUGUCAAUACUCACUACAUUUGACUACUUUUGUCAUCAGUAGCUGUAGUUUAUUGGUUUGGCUAAUCAGAUGAACAGAUGUUUAUAAUCUUAGCCCC